This 4702-nucleotide long non-coding RNA is filed under the name Sus scrofa (pig). Its description in RNAcentral is "lncRNA (ENSSSCG00050060852.1, ENSSSCG00060051921.1)". The record is from RNAcentral. Lineage: Eukaryota; Metazoa; Chordata; Mammalia; Artiodactyla; Suidae.
GGAGUAGGGGUGAAAGGCUAGUAUUAUUUCUUUCCAAGAUUAUACUCAAGAAAAUGUUCAACUUGAAGUGUUUUUCUAACAAGACUGAAAAAGAAAGGAAGACUUCAUCAGGUAGGUCAUAAAAGUGCUAAACAUUGAAAAAUCAGAGCCAUAAUGAUGCUUCAAAUUAGCUUCCCCUGAGGAGGGGAUUCUGGCCGCAGCCUUUGUUAAGUGCCGUAAUGUGUAGUGAGUAAGAUGAAUUAUUCAUGUAAUAUUUGAACAUACUCUGGGAAUUUCUGAAGGACUCUAGGAGAAAAAUAUGAUUUGUCUUUCAGGUGAUAAGAAGAAUUUAGAUCCUGAUUUCAAGCAAAUAAAAUACAAUUCAAGAGCAGCUUGCACUGAUAUCAGUAUCUUGAGAAUUCCUACCCCCAUCGCCACCCCAGUAAAAACCCAAGGAAAUAUAAUUCAAUCAGCUGGGGUAAGAACCUGUGCUGAUUAUGUGAGCAUUCUGCUGAAUUCUCAGAGGUGGGACUGCCAUUCCUGAUGCAGGAUUUGCAUUCAGCCUGCCUUUGCUAAGUAUACAACUGCUGCUAUUUGUGUACGUGAAUUAUUUCUUCCAUAACAAGGUUGGAAUUACAUUUAGGAAUUUAAUUCAAAUUAAGUACUAAUAAUAGGAGCAACUUUUUUAAUGUCAUAAAAAGUGCCCUGGUACUUAAAAUAUAAAGUGUCACAAAGCACUUCCCUCUCCCUGCAUACCUGCAGGUUCUAACCUCAUCAUGAAAUUUUUGGUCAAAUUAUUUUCCAAGUUGUUACCAAUGGAAUGAAGGGAAUCCAAGUGAGAUUCAAUGCUCACUUUCUUGAGAUUGCUUUAAAAUUCUGUGUUUUGUUUGUUUGUUUUUUGUUUUUUGUUUAAAAGACUGUCUAGCAGAUAUUCACUCCCUUUUCUUUGGGAACUUGGUGGCACAAAUGGCUAAGGAUGCUUUCAAAAAGAGCAGGGAUUUAUUCAAGCUGAUUACUUGUACUUAGGUACUAUUUAUUAAAAGUUGGCUAGUAAAAAAUUAAGAAAAUGAACCCAGGAUGCUAAGAACUUCAACUAUUACUCAGCAAAAAAAAAAAAAAAAAAAUUGUUUAAAUUUCAUGACUUGUACCUCGGUAAAUGGAAGAGUAUUAGGAAUGUCUUCCUUUGAGGGGUAAAGGAUUAAUCAACAUAUAUUCAGGAGGACACCUCGAGAGUGAAGGAGACCCAGACAGUGGGAAGGUCCCAAUCAUAGCCCUUCACAUCCACUGAUCUCUCCUCCUCCUCUUCCCUCUGUGUCAAUGUUACCUAGACCAACCUCUGAGCUGCUAAAGGCGAAUCCAUCCUCUAUCUCAUGCUGCACAGCUUACUGAAGAGAGAAAGACAAAGUUCUAGAGUAGAGCAUUUUCUGACACUUUGCCAUGUGCCCACAAAAUGAAGCUCCUCAGAGUAAGAGGUAGCAGCAGAUGAGCAGUUGAGUGAACCAGCCAGCUGAAGCCUCACCAAGUCCUACCUUGAACUUUCCUAGUUGUCUCACACUGAAGGUGGAUUUAGUACACUCCUCCUCCCUGCAAUUGGGUCUCAAAAUGCAAGAGAGCCACCCCUUGAGGCAGGAUGAGGGAAGGUGCAGAGAAGCAGCCCAAAAUGUCUAGAUUUGAUGGUGCUAUGCCCUGAGCAUGGGCCCCACUUCUGUACCCACAUCCUCAUCUCUGGAUCUGUGUUGUUCUUGCUUGGUCUUGCCCUUUUCCCAUCCUUAUUUUGCCUCUGAAGACGCUAGUGUUUUGGCAGAAACCUAGAAACACUAAUAAAAAUUACAAAUGCCACUAUAAACAAUAACUCAGUAUUUGUGUUUCUCAAAACUUUGUCCUUUCCAGUAAAGUAUAAAUGUUUUGAAGGAAGGAACCAUGUCCAUUUCUAUGCAUGCUGAAAACACAGUGGUUCAUACAGCACCUGACACAGAGCAACUGCUCAAGAAUAUUGAGACAUGUUAGGUUGCACCUGUGGUUCUCAAAUUUUAGCUAGAGAGCAUGGGCUAUGGAGGCAGACAGACUUGCAUUUAAAUUCUGACUCUGACACUCACUAGGUGUGAUGCCCCAGAUAAAUCACUUGUCUUCUUAGAGUCUCAGUUUUCUUGUCUCUAAAAUGGGGCUGAUAGACGUGCCAUGAGGAUUGAAUGAGAUAACAUGAAAAAUAACUGUUGCAUUUGGCCUGCGGCAGAUAUUCAAUAAAGAGUAACUGUCAUCAUUAUUAAUUUCACCAUUAUUAUUACGAUCUUAACACUGGGCCAUGCUCUAGACAUUAGAGUAACUCAUGUUCUUCUAUGCAUUUUCUCUCUGAAAAGGUAAACCAGAAUUGGGAAAGGCUGCUUGAGGAUUAUUUCAGAAGAGCGAUGGUUCUUUAUGCUGAGAAAAUGUUCUUGAUAUGACAUGCAAUGCCCGCUCUAGGUCACAGAGCAGCAAAGUUCAGCUAAAUUCUAACAAAACUUGUUGAAACCAAUAGAUCGGAAGACUUACUGUCAGAAGUCUAAACCAGCUUCAAACUCCUCAAUACGUAGAAUGCUGGGGAAAAGUAAUUUAGCCUUUCUCACCCUGCUCCCUCAUCUGUGAAAGAAGAUUAAUAGCACCUACUUUUUAGGCUUAUUAUAGGAAUUAAAUAACUAUUCUGUGUGCAAAUGCAUACAGAAUGCAAAGCACUAAACAAGUAUUAUUUAUUUGGAGUAAAACAGACCUAGUUUCAACCACCCUAUUCACUGAGCCUAAAAAUCCACCCUUACAUGUAACACCCACGUGUUGAUUUAGAGUUUAUAAAAUGUGGUCAUUGUAGCUAUAUAAUCUCUAAUGAUCUCAGCCAUCUUUCCACAUUGCCAGAGGGCCCAAAUGCCUCCACCACCAUCCCAGCCUCUUUGUACAGGCCUGCAUGAGGAUUUGAUUACUUAAUAAAACCACCAGCUACACAAAGAGGGAAAGAGAUGCACUGAGAACAGGAUGAUUAUGAGCAGAAGGAAAUGGAAGUGGAUCCUGGAAAGGUGAAAGAGUGGUAGGAAAGGAUCCUAUACUCCCAUGAAGACUAUAUCAUAUGAUAGAACAAAGUAAGAGCGGUGAGUAAAAUCAGCUUGCUGCCCAGCCCCAGGAAGAGGAAAAGAGACAGCAUCUGAGCAGUCCACCCACCACAGGGAAGGAACAAGUCAGAGAAAGUAAAAGGGAAAACAAUGGAAGUAGUCUGAGAGGUUUUCUUCUUUCCUGUCUUGGGCGCAGAUAGUUGAGACUCCUCUCCGCUCUUAAAGGUAAGGAAGUCAUGUGGAGAUGAUCACAUUAAAAAUAGCGCAUUCAAUACUUUCCCGUAAAGAUUUGAAAUCUCCUUGGCAUGUCAGGGUGACCCUGUUACUGGAGCUCUCAAACAAAUGAGAGAAAAUGGAAAAUAGCCUGGGUUUGGGGCUCAUUCUCUUUUAGAUUUCAUAACUGUCAUUCUGCAGAUGCUGUUUAGAGUAGCUGUUUCUCAUUCACUUGAUGUUGAGAACACUGACAUUUCCCGAGAAUUUAAGGAAAGAGGAACAAACAAUGAUUGAUGAAAGGGGAUUAGCAGAGGGAACAAAGGAGUCUCCUCUCUCCCACCUUCCCUCACCCACCCAACCAUCACUCUCACAGAAAGCCCCAACCACCCCAGCAAGCCCCCUUGGAAAGAUCACAGGGACAGCUGCCUUUUUGGCCAAGCAACAUGGAAUGCAACAAGAAAGAAAAGGAAGCACAAGAGACAAACAGUUCAGUGCUUAGAGUCUCAUACUUCCAUAGGGUAGUAUUUUGAUUCAUGGAAACUUGAAUCUAAAAUUUGACAAAUGUUAGGGGAAAAAAACUAUCUUCACCCUACCCCUCCAUAUGUAAUCUGGUACCAGUCCAUAAAAGGGUUGUUAAACUCUGCACAGACCACCUUAUAAAAAUAAGCCCUUUUAUCUGCUGCCAGAGAACAACAAAAGAACUCUUGAGUAUCUGUGGAGAUUCUAGGAUUAUGUUAGGAUGGAUAAUAGAAAGGCAAAUACUCACUAAAAGACUGUCUGUUACUCUCAGAAUCACUAUAGCAAUACCCAAGCCAUGCAGCUGAGAAAAGCCUUAACACACACUAUGCAAUUCAAAUGCAACCCAUCACUGCUGAUAUAAUUACAGGUGCCUGCCUUCCUCCUCUCAGAUCUGUGGAUAAAAGCCUAGGGCUGAAUUUGUAUCUCAGCUGCACAGAAGCCGAAACUAGUAGCCAAUAAACACAGAGAAUUCUGCAUUUGACAGACAGGCUCUUGGAGGAUAUAGAGCUAAUCUUGUUCAACAGUUCUUCUACACUCAGAACUAUCAGGAUGACAAAAAGGGAAGGGAUGUUUAUGGACGCUCCCUAACUGCAGAACUUUAUUUCAUUUAAGCCUCACAAGAAUCAUGUAAGUGAGAUGUUAUCUUUAUUCUUUAAAUAAGAAAAAUGAGACUCAAAAAUUGAGCAAUUUGCCUUAGGUUGCACACCUCUAUCAGUGGUGGAAUUGGCCCUGGAACCUCAAUCUUUCUGACCACAUUGUCCAGACCUUUUCCAGAUCAGUGAGGAUCAGGCUCCUGGCAAUAGUAGGUAAUUAGCAAUGGGCUGUGAUUCUCCUAACUUGUAAGCUCCUCUCAAAGGCUGAUGCAUGGCAGCUUUCAAAUGAGAGUUCUGCACCUCGGUCCUUUUAGGGAGAGGUGG